GACGAACGCUGGCGGCGUGCCUAAUACAUGCAAGUUGAGCGAUGAAGAUUGGUGCUUGCACCAAUUUGAAGAGCAGCGAACGGGUGAGUAACGCGUGGGGAAUCUGCCUUUGAGUGGGGGACAACAUUUGGAAACGAAUGCUAAUACCGCAUAACAACUUUAAACAUAAGUUUUAAGUUUGAAAGAUGCAAUUGCAUCACUCAAAGAUGAUCCCGCGUUGUAUUAGCUAGUUGGUGAGGUAAAGGAUCACCAAGGGGAUGAUACAUAGCCGACCUGAGAGGGUGAUCGGCCACAUUGGGACUGAGACACGGCCCAAACUCCUACGGGAGGCAGCAGUAGGGAAUCUUCGGCAAUGGACGAAAGUCUGACCGAGCAACGCCGCGUGAGUGAAGAAGGUUUUCGGAUCGUAAAACUCUGUUGGUAGAGAAGAACGUUGGUGAGAGUGGAAAGCUCAUCAAGUGACGGUAACUACCCAGAAAGGGACGGCUAACUACGUG
Molecule: ribosomal RNA, 497 nt
Filed under: uncultured bacterium
Lineage: Bacteria
Description: partial 16S ribosomal RNA
Rfam family: Bacterial small subunit ribosomal RNA
Source: RNAcentral